UAGGCAACCAGAUAGCAAUGAUUGCUGUGAGAUCGAGCCUUUGGGAGAAGAAAAACCUGACGCGAGGGAAGACAGUCGGAAAAGGGCUACGAACUAACUUCCCCUUGAAAAACAGUGUAGGAACAUCGAGGGCUACAAUUGAACAACAAUAAUUCAAGUUCAGCUACGCCACUGUUGUGAAUGUGUCCUAACGCCCUGGGAGACACAAAGCGCAUAUUUGUUAACAAAGUCCGUGGAUUCGUCUUUUAUCGCUAAAAUAAGGGUUGAUUCCAAUUGCUCAAAUGCAAAUGGGGAGGAAGAUUGGAUAGAAUAAAGAGUGAACCAGGAAAUCCUUUCAAGAUGGC
Long non-coding RNA from Diorhabda sublineata, 344 nucleotides. RefSeq lists it as uncharacterized. The transcript has 3 exons. NCBI's taxonomy places the organism in Eukaryota, Metazoa, Arthropoda, Insecta, Coleoptera, Chrysomelidae. The record is from RefSeq and is a predicted model, not a curated record.